This 117-nucleotide ribosomal RNA is filed under the name Lepisosteus oculatus (spotted gar). The record is from RNAcentral. Lineage: Eukaryota; Metazoa; Chordata; Actinopteri; Semionotiformes; Lepisosteidae.
ACCUGCAGCCAUAUUACCCUGCAGCUCUCAACUGGCUACCCACUGAAGCUAAGCAGGGUUGAUCCUGGUCAGUACCUGGAUAGGAGACCUCCUGGGAAGCUAUGGUUGCUGCUGAAU